This 467-nucleotide ribosomal RNA is filed under the name uncultured bacterium. RNAcentral describes it as "partial 16S ribosomal RNA". It matches the Rfam family "Bacterial small subunit ribosomal RNA", at positions 28 to 507 of the family's 1533-position model. The record is from RNAcentral.
GACGAACGCUGGCGGCGUGCUUAACACAUGCAAGUCGAACGGAAAGGCCCUGCUUUUGUGGGGUGCUCGAGUGGCGAACGGGUGAGAACACGUGAGUAACCUGCCCUUGACUUUGGGAUAACUUCAGGAAACUGGGGCUAAUACCGGAUAGGAGCUCCUGCUGCAUGAUGGGGGUUGGAAAGUUUCGGCGGUUGGGGAUGGACUCGCGGCUUAUCAGCUUGUUGGUGGGGUAGUGGCUUACCAAGGCUUUGACGGGUAGCCGGCCUGAGAGGGUGACCGGCCACAUUGGGACUGAGAUACGGCCCAGACUCCUACGGGAGGCAGCAGUGGGGAAUAUUGCACAAUGGGCGGAAGCCUGAUGCAGCAACGCCGCGUGCGGGAUGACGGCCUUCGGGUUGUAAACCGCUUUCGCCUGUGACGAAGCGUGAGUGACGGUAAUGGGUAAAGAAGCACCGGCUAACUACGUG